Molecule: ribosomal RNA, 1446 nt
Filed under: uncultured organism
Description: SSU rRNA
Rfam family: Bacterial small subunit ribosomal RNA
Source: RNAcentral
GAUGAACGCUAGCUACAGGCUUAACACAUGCAAGUCGAGGGGCAGCAUGGUCUUAGCUUGCUAAGACUGAUGGCGACCGGCGCACGGGUGAGUAACACGUAUCCAACCUGCCGUCUACUCUUGGACAGCCUUCUGAAAGGAAGAUUAAUACAAGAUGGCAUCAUGAGUCCGCAUGUUCACAUGAUUAAAGGUAUUCCGGUAGACGAUGGGGAUGCGUUCCAUUAGAUAGUAGGCGGGGUAACGGCCCACCUAGUCUUCGAUGGAUAGGGGUUCUGAGAGGAAGGUCCCCCACAUUGGAACUGAGACACGGUCCAAACUCCUACGGGAGGCAGCAGUGAGGAAUAUUGGUCAAUGGGCGAGAGCCUGAACCAGCCAAGUAGCGUGAAGGAUGACUGCCCUAUGGGUUGUAAACUUCUUUUAUAAAGGAAUAAAGUCGGGUAUGCAUACCCGUUUGCAUGUACUUUAUGAAUAAGGAUCGGCUAACUCCGUGCCAGCAGCCGCGGUAAUACGGAGGAUCCGAGCGUUAUCCGGAUUUAUUGGGUUUAAAGGGAGCGUAGAUGGAUGUUUAAGUCAGUUGUGAAAGUUUGCGGCUCAACCGUAAAAUUGCAGUUGAUACUGGAUAUCUUGAGUGCAGUUGAGGCAGGCGGAAUUCGUGGUGUAGCGGUGAAAUGCUUAGAUAUCACGAAGAACUCCGAUUGCGAAGGCAGCCUGCUAAGCUGCAACUGACAUUGAGGCUCGAAAGUGUGGGUAUCAAACAGGAUUAGAUACCCUGGUAGUCCACACGGUAAACGAUGAAUACUCGCUGUUUGCGAUAUACGGCAAGCGGCCAAGCGAAAGCGUUAAGUAUUCCACCUGGGGAGUACGCCGGCAACGGUGAAACUCAAAGGAAUUGACGGGGGCCCGCACAAGCGGAGGAACAUGUAGUUUAAUUCGAUGAUACGCGAGGAACCUUACCCGGGCUUAAAUUGCAGAUGAAUUACGGUGAAAGCCGUAAGCCGCAAGGCAUCUGUGAAGGUGCUGCAUGGUUGUCGUCAGCUCGUGCCGUGAGGUGUCGGCUUAAGUGCCAUAACGAGCGCAACCCUUGUUGUCAGUUACUAACAGGUUCCGCUGAGGACUCUGACAAGACUGCCAUCGUAAGAUGUGAGGAAGGUGGGGAUGACGUCAAAUCAGCACGGCCCUUACGUCCGGGGCUACACACGUGUUACAAUGGGGGGUACAGAGGGCCGCUACCACGCGAGUGGAUGCCAAUCCCAAAAACCUCUCUCAGUUCGGACUGGAGUCUGCAACCCGACUCCACGAAGCUGGAUUCGCUAGUAAUCGCGCAUCAGCCACGGCGCGGUGAAUACGUUCCCGGGCCUUGUACACACCGCCCGUCAAGCCAUGGGAGCCGGGGGUACCUGAAGUGCGUAACCGCGAGGAGCGCCCUAGGGUAAAACUGGUGACUGG